GACGAACGCUGGCGGCGUGCUUAACACAUGCAAGUCGAACGGAAAGGCCCUGCUUUUGUGGGGUGCUCGAGUGGCGAACGGGUGAGUAACACGUGAGUAACCUGCCCUUGACUUUGGGAUAACUUCAGGAAACUGGGGCUAAUACCGGAUAGGAGCUCCUGCUGCAUGGUGGGGGUUGGAAAGUUUCGGCGGUUGGGGAUGGACUCGCGGCUUAUCAGCUUGUUGGUGGGGUAGUGGCUUACCAAGGCUUUGACGGGUAGCCGGCCUGAGAGGGUGACCGGCCACAUUGGGACUGAGAUACGGCCCAGACUCAUACGGGAGGCAGCAGUGGGGAUGAUUGAACAAUGGGCUGAAGCCUGAUGCAGAAACUCCGCGUGCCGGAUGACGGCCUUCGGGUUGUAAACCGCUUUCGCCUGUGACGAAGCGUGAGUGACGGUAAUGGGUAAAGAAGCACCGGCUAACUACGUG
This 468-nucleotide ribosomal RNA is filed under the name uncultured bacterium. Its description in RNAcentral is "partial 16S ribosomal RNA". It matches the Rfam family "Bacterial small subunit ribosomal RNA", at positions 28 to 507 of the family's 1533-position model. The record is from RNAcentral.